RNAcentral lists this ribosomal RNA (422 nucleotides) under uncultured archaeon. Its description in RNAcentral is "bacterial SSU rRNA". It matches the Rfam family "Archaeal small subunit ribosomal RNA", at positions 459 to 889 of the family's 1478-position model. The record is from RNAcentral.
CAGCCGCCGCGGUAACCGAGAGGAAUUGGUGGGGGAGCACAUUAUUGGGCCUAAAGCAUCCGUAGCCCGUUUUGUAAGUUUUCGGUUAAAUCCAUGCGCUUAACGUAUGGGCUGCCGGGGAUACUGCCUGACUUGGAAAUGGGAGAGGUAAACGGAACUCGGUAGGAAGGGGUAAAAUCCUUUGAUCUAUUGAUGACCACCUGUGGCGAAGGCGGUCUACCACAACACGUUCGACGGUGAGGGAUGAAAGCUGGGGGAGCAAACCGGAUUAGAUACCCGGGUAGUCCCAGCUGUAAACUAUGCAAACUCAAUGAUGCCUUGACUUAGGGUGUGUGUGAUGCUGCACGGAAGCCGUUAAGUUUGCCACCUGGGAAGUACGUAAUGAAGUAUGAAGGAAUUGGGAGUUGACCGGAGGAGCACAA